GGAUAUGAAGGCCAUGUGGCUGCAACACUUGAAACCCCAUUGAUUGCCAGAAUCAAUACUAAUGAUCGGGGUAACGGUGUCCCUUUCCUCCCUAACUCCAAGUGCGUCCAUUCCAGAGUGGCGCACUCAGUCAAAGUGGAUGACCUUCACCACAGAGGAGGACCAGUCGUUGGCCAAGGGUAUGUGAGUAGCUGCUAGAACCUCUGAACAAGCUCUCAUGUGUCCUCAAGAAUGCAGUGGUCCAGCCUGAAGGAAGGGCUUACUGGCUGUACCU
This 274-nucleotide small nuclear RNA is filed under the name Microtus ochrogaster (prairie vole). RNAcentral describes it as "7SK RNA (ENSMOCG00000006331.1)". It matches the Rfam family "7SK RNA". Rfam says of the family: 7SK was discovered as an abundant small nuclear RNA in the mid-70s but a possible function has only recently been suggested. Two independent studies have found that 7SK RNA binds the CDK9/cyclin T complex (known as elongation factor P-TEFb). P-TEFb activates transcription by phosphorylating the C-terminal domain of RNA polymerase II. Lineage: Eukaryota; Metazoa; Chordata; Mammalia; Rodentia; Cricetidae. The record is from RNAcentral.